This 198-nucleotide unclassified non-coding RNA is filed under the name Arsenophonus endosymbiont of Bemisia tabaci Q2. RNAcentral's name for it is "IS009". The record is from RNAcentral. Lineage: Bacteria; Pseudomonadati; Pseudomonadota; Gammaproteobacteria; Enterobacterales; Morganellaceae.
UGAUAUCCCUCCUAGACCAAACAACAAAUUAAUCGCAGAUGCUGAGAAUGAAAAAAGAGUGCUAAUGCAGGAUGCAACUGACGUGAUUAUCCCCUUGCAAGAUGCGGUUGAUUUGGAGAUGGCAACAGAGGACGAAAUAACAUAGCUCAGGAAUUGGAAACUUUAUUGAUUAAAUGUCUAUCGUACUGAUACCUCAAC